Long non-coding RNA from Musca domestica (house fly), 1134 nucleotides. RefSeq lists it as uncharacterized. The record is from RefSeq and is a predicted model, not a curated record. The transcript is spliced from 6 exons. NCBI's taxonomy places the organism in Eukaryota, Metazoa, Arthropoda, Insecta, Diptera, Muscidae.
UGUAAACAACAGAAAGGAGGGAUAAUUUAAAAAUGGAAAUUAAAAUGAGAAUUUAAAUAGAAUAUUUUUCAAUAAAUUUGUUACCAUGGAUUUUUUAAUUAAAUAUUUUAUUUACAGAUUUCUUGUGUUUGGAGACUCAUAGUGAAAUUUGAUGCAGAACAUAUUUGCCAUUGGCACCAAUCUCCUAAUAGGACGUCAUGAGGGACAUUUUGGUAGAAAUUGGAAAACUUCCAAAUUUUUUUUUGCUCCUACUGAAAUUCGAUGUAGAAUAUUUUUGUCAUUGACACCAACCCGCUAAAAGGAUGUCUACAUGGUUAUUUAGAUAUCUGUUGUUUGAAGACCCGCAGUAAAAUUUGAUGCAGAACAAUUUUUCCAUUAACAUCAACUCCCUAAAAUGAUGUCUAAAGGGUUAUUUUGGAGCAUUAUCACAACUACUUAAAAAUAUGUGCAAAUCUCGAGUAGAAUUUGAUGUAGAACACUUUUGCCAUUGCCAUCAAAGUCCUUAUAGCAUGUCUUGGGUGAUAUUUUGGUGGAAUUUCGAAACCUAACCUUAAAUGGAUGUAUUUUCAUUGUUUGCAGGCUCCUACUGAAAUUCGAUGAAGAAUAUUUUUGUCAUUGACACCAACCCGCUAAAAGGAUGACUAGAUGGUUAUUUUGGUGCAAUUUCAAAAACAACCCUGAAAUAUUUUCAUUGAGUGUUUUCUAUGAAUUUUUUACUUAAAUAUUAUUUUUACAGUUAUCUUUUGUUCGCAGACCCAAAGUGAAAUUUGAUGCAGAGCAAUUUUGCCGUUAACAUCAACUCCCUGAAAUAAUGUCUAAAGGGUUAUUUUGGAACAAUGUCAAAAACUACUUAAAAAUAACGCAAGAGAAUUUGUAACCAUUGAUUUUCGACUCAAAUAUUAUUUUUACACAUUUCUCUUGUUUGCAGACCUCUAGUAGAAUUUGAUGUAGAACACUUUUGCCAUUGCCAUCAAAGUCCUUAUAGCAUGUCUUGGGUGAUAUUUUGGUGGAAUUUCGAAACCUAACCUUAAAUGGGUGUAUUUUCAUUGUUUGCAGGCUCCUACUGAAAUUCGAUGUAGAAUAUUUUUGUCAUUGACAAUAACCCGUUAAAAGGAUGUCUAGAUGGUUAUUUUG